GACGAACGCUGGCGGCGUGCCUAAUACAUGCAAGUCGAGCGAACUGACUAGAAAAGCUUGCUUUUCUAUGACGUUAGCGGCGGACGGGUGAGUAACACGUGGGUAACCUGCCCUAUAGACUGGGAUAACUUCGGGAAACCGGAGCUAAUACCGGAUAAUACUUUGAAUCACAUGCUUCAAAGUUGAAAGAUGGUUUUGCUAUCACUAUAGGAUGGACCCGCGGCGCAUUAGCUAGUUGGUGAGGUAACGGCUCACCAAGGCGACGAUGCGUAGCCGACCUGAGAGGGUGAUCGGCCACACUGGGACUGAGACACGGCCCAG
Molecule: ribosomal RNA, 321 nt
Filed under: uncultured bacterium
Lineage: Bacteria
Description: bacterial SSU rRNA
Rfam family: Bacterial small subunit ribosomal RNA
Source: RNAcentral